AACGAACGCUGGCGGCAUGCCUAACACAUGCAAGUCGAACGAGACCUUCGGGUCUAGUGGCCCACGGGUGCGUAACGCGUGGGAACCUGCCUUUAGGUUCGGAAUAACUCAGAGAAAUUUGAGCUAAUACCGGAUGAUGUCUUCGGACCAAAGAUUUAUCGCCUUUAGGUGGGCCCGCGUUGGAUUAGCUCGUUGGUGGGGUAAAGGCAUACCAAGGCGACGAUCCAUAGCUGGUCUGAGAGGAUGAUCAGCCACACUGGGACUGAGACACGGCCCAGACUCCUACGGGAGGCAGCAGUAGGUAAUAUUAGACAAGGGGCGAAAGCCUGAUCCAGCAAUGCCGCGGGAGUGAUGAAGGCCUUAGGGUUGUAAAGCUCUUUUACCCGAGAUGAUAAUGACAGUAUCGGGAGAAUAAGCUCCGGCUAACUCCGUG
RNAcentral lists this ribosomal RNA (433 nucleotides) under uncultured bacterium. RNAcentral's name for it is "partial 16S ribosomal RNA". It matches the Rfam family "Bacterial small subunit ribosomal RNA", at positions 29 to 507 of the family's 1533-position model. The record is from RNAcentral.